GCAGAUUGGAAGGCUUUGACGAGACCCACACCGCAAAUGGCUCCAAGACACUGAGCCACCAUGUACAAUAUUGCUCGGAUCAGCGACACCUUCCGGGCCAGGAACAGCCCAAAGGUCACCGCCGGGUUAAUGUGUCCCCCUGCGCAUUUUACAGAACUAUCGGUCAGCAUGUGCUACCUUGCGCCAUGCCAUUUACAUUAAGAUGAAUCUUUUGAUUUAAGGAAAAACCAUGAGAAAGGGGAAAGAGUAAAUCAAUUUCAUCUCAUUUAUUCUAAAUUUUUAGCAUGAAAAGAAUCAAAACUUUCUGGGUGGGAAGGAAAUUACAUAAAGCUGAUUGAAAAAGUAGUUUUUUUAAGAGAAGGUUCUCCAUCACGAUCGGAGAAAGAGACCCAUACCAUCUGUUUGGUGAGAAGGAAAACUAGAAAAAGGAUAACAGAAGUAAAAAAUUUAUGCUUAUUUUUCGGUUUGGGGCCCAAAGGAAGGGGUAAGGCAACUCCGGCCAAUAGUUGAGUUGAAGCUUUUUACACUUUAGGAAACAAAGCCAACACUAUUUUCCAAUUAUUUCUCAGAAACCAAACGUCAACUCCAUCAACUACCUCCUUCAAGUGAACCUUUCCAGCAGAAUUAUUUAUCAAGGGAAAAAAAGGACCAAAAAGAAAGAAAGGAAAGAAAGGAAAAAAAGCUAUGAAGUUCUAACAGAUCCUUUCUUUCUUUCCCUUUUUUUUUUAACUUCACAAAGAAAUGGUCAUAACAAUAAAUGAAUCCUUGAAAGAGAAAGACAAAGAGGGAAAAAGAGAGAAAGAAAACCAGUUUUCUAACUGAUGUUUUCAGGGUUUUUUUUUCUUUUCUUUUUUUUUUUUUUGUUCUCGAGAAUCAAAAAGAGUGCAUGAAAACAAAAGAAAAAAGAACAACCCAGAAGAGAGAAAACUGACCAGAAAUGCCGGCAGUGCAGUAAACAAGGAUAAAGAUCAUGCCACCAAAAGACCAAGCAAUGCCCAGAAUGCCAACACCACCGCAUGGGUCACCCCCGGCAGUCUGGCUCUUGUAGCCGAUGACUGUCAGCACCGUAAUGUAAAGGAAGAGCAGC
This 1087-nucleotide long non-coding RNA is filed under the name Vitis vinifera (wine grape). RNAcentral's name for it is "long non-coding RNA (VVIN_LNC004078)". Lineage: Eukaryota; Viridiplantae; Streptophyta; Magnoliopsida; Vitales; Vitaceae. The record is from RNAcentral.